GCCUGAUCCAGCCAUGCCGCGUGCAUGAAGACUGCCCUAUGGGUUGUAAACUGCUUUUACAGAGGAAAAACCACCCCCACGUGUGGGGGUUUGACGGUACUCUGCGAAUAAAGAUCGGCUAACUCCGUGCCAGCAGCCGCGGUAAUACAAUCA
RNAcentral lists this ribosomal RNA (153 nucleotides) under uncultured bacterium. Its description in RNAcentral is "partial 16S ribosomal RNA". It matches the Rfam family "Bacterial small subunit ribosomal RNA", at positions 381 to 531 of the family's 1533-position model. The record is from RNAcentral.